RNAcentral lists this ribosomal RNA (492 nucleotides) under uncultured bacterium. Its description in RNAcentral is "partial 16S ribosomal RNA". It matches the Rfam family "Bacterial small subunit ribosomal RNA", at positions 29 to 507 of the family's 1533-position model. The record is from RNAcentral.
AGUGAACGCUGGCGGUAGGCCUAACACAUGCAAGUCGAACGGCAGCACAGUAAGAGCUUGCUCUUACGGGUGGCGAGUGGCGGACGGGUGAGGAAUACAUCGGAAUCUACUUUUUCGUGGGGGGUAACGUAGGGAAACUUACGCUAAUACCGCAUACGACCUACGGGUGAAAGCAGGGGAUCUUCGGACCUUGCGCGAUUGAAUGAGCCGAUGUCGGAUUAGCUAGUUGGCGGGGUAAAGGCCCACCAAGGCGACGAUCCGUAGCUGGUCUGAGAGGAUGAUCAGCCACACUGGAACUGAGACACGGUCCAGACUCCUACGGGAGGCAGCAGUGGGGAAUAUUGGACAAUGGGCGCAAGCCUGAUCCAGCCAUACCGCGUGGGUGAAGAAGGCCUUCGGGUUGUAAAGCGCUUUUGUUGGGAAAGAAAAGCAGCAGGUUAAUACCCCGCUGUUCUGACGGUACCCAAAGAAUAAGCACCGGCUAACUUCGUG